UUGUCUAUGAGGUGUCUUUGUGU
This 23-nucleotide non-coding RNA is filed under the name Cricetulus griseus (Chinese hamster). Lineage: Eukaryota; Metazoa; Chordata; Mammalia; Rodentia; Cricetidae. The record is from RNAcentral.